GCAGCGAGUUAGCAAAGACCUGUUUCCUUAGUGCAGGUUGCGAGUUGCGCUUCUGGGUUAGAAGAUUAAUGCUCACUGUCGUGCAAUCAUCUCAGUUGUGCUUUCCCGGCUCUCAUUCUUGAGAUGACAAACACCUGGGAGAGUCUUACUCGGAGAUUCUCAAGAGGCUUUACUGUGGUCAGAACCCCAGCCAGGUCAUCCAGAGAUCAGAAUUCCUCAAAGACAACUCUGGACAAAGUCAUCACUCAGCAUGGCAAACCCUGGGAGACUCCCGGCUCAUGGCUGCAGACUGCACACAUUCACCUGCUCGGUCCCCUUGCUCCCCGGUUUCCCCUUCAUGAGGAACAGAUAUAAUUUUUAAGCAACUGAAACUCUCACAGUGCAAUAACAACAACAAAAAAGAGGGUCAUUAUCUUGAAGAACUGCUAAAAUACAGAAAAGAGACUGGGGGAGAAAUUAGCACAAAGCUGCUUAAGAUGCUGGAGGAAGUUCCGACAGGGCCAUUUCAUUCAAGAACAGACGGAACAAGUAGAGCAGGUGGAGAGCACACCUUCCCUCCCUGUGGCUUCCCCCAAAAGAGUACCUGCUGGCGUAUCUAUCAGUGGAAAAUCUCCCAGGACGAGCCUCUAGUGGAGCUGCUAGGACCAUAGAGAGAAGCAGUGCAGAUACUGAGGCACCUCCAGAUCAUUGUCAGAUAGUGUGGAUGAAAGGCCGGGAGAGGCAGCUAUUGCCUAGGAUGAAAUAGUCCUGCAGAGUGAAGCCCUCCUAACUGCAGCAGCUGUGGGGACCCCCGGCUGCCAGCCAGCUCCUCAUAUACUCACUACAGAGAAGACUGCUAGUCAUUUCACCUGCCUGCUUACAAAAGCACUCAUCCGUCCACCCAUCCAUCCAAAAAAGACUAUUUAUUGAUCUUCCACUAUGUUCCAGCCCUAAAGAAAACAAAAAUUCCUCUCCUAGGGAGCUGAUAUUUGAGCAGGAGGGCAGAAUCAAUAGGUAAUGAAUAAAAUGUAUAGCCUGUCACGUGGUGAAUGAGGUCUAUACAACUUGAGAGGAAAUGAUGCCGGUUUACACAAAUCAAACUCGUUCUCCAUUCAGAAACAUGAACGGGCCACUCGUGAUUGCUGGACAGGUUAGGAAAACCAAGAUCGUGAAUGAGAGAAGUAUUAUGAGAUACUAAUGUUAAGAAGUGUUAAGAAGUCAGCAUUCAUCCAAUAGGAGUUUCACAAAGACAACAACAAAAAAGACAAAAGAAUCGAGGAAACUAUAAAGUAACAGGAAAAAAGUUCCCAGAGUUGAAGAAAGCUACAAGUCUUUAUCUGAAAGAACCCACUGAGGCUCAGAAGAAUGAAUUAAAAGAGGCUAGAACUGGGCACACACAAGUGAAAUUUCAGAACUCUAAGGGAAGAGAGUCCUAAAAGUCUCUAGCAAGGAAAAGUAAGUUACAUGGAAAGAAGAAUCAGAUAAACAUUAGUGACUUGAUUUCAAGGCCCUUGGGAACAGAAUACAGUCAGAACUCGGUACUCAUCAGCUUCAGACCUCAUCAAACCCAGUACUCAUUGCAUUUUGACGAGAAAGAAAUGUUUCAGCACUCAGUGCUCGAUUGGGACUCAUCGCACUUGCUGACACUUGUGUAAGUCACGAUGCUGCCCCGCAAAAGGAAAUGCUUCAGCACUCCUUGCUUGCUUGCUACUCAUAGAUUUCAGCACUCAUCACGAGUUCCAGAACAAAUUAAUGAUGAGUACUGAGGUACCACUAUAUAUAAAUAUAAAUAUGAAUAGAUUUAUAUUUACAUUUGAAGUGGUCUGAUAAUUGUAAAUGCUAGUGAUAAGUUUUAAAUCCUGGAGUCAAUCUAUAUAUAUAACAUGAAAUACAAUGACAAAAUGUAUAAUGCUUCAAUGUGUGAAAAUAAUAGAAUAACUACAAUUUGGUGACAGAAGAGGAAAGAGGGAUGGAAGGUAAAGUGAGUUCAGAAAUGCUCUCAUCUUUUCUAAUGGAGUAUCAAAAAUUAUCUAAGAUGAUAAAUAAAAAUAAAGAUAUAUAUAUUAGGGUUUUUCUACCCUGAGUGCUUAUUAGAAUGACCUGGGAGCCUAACAAACAUGUUGAUGCGUGGGCCCCACCCCACAUGAAUUAAAUCAGAAUCUGGUGGCCUGAAUAGCUGCAUUUUUGAAAAGCUCUCCAGGUGACUAAUAUGGUAUCAGUCAGGAUUGACAGACACUUUAAUUAAAGUCAUAACGACAACAAUUAGAAGAAUGAAAACAAGCUGACAGUGAUUGCUCUGGGGAAUAGAACAAGGAAUUUCUAAACUAUUUGAAUUGUUUUUAUGGAGAAAAAAAUGAAGAAGAAAGAGAAGGAAUCCAACUUGAGUUUCUCAGGCUCUGCACUACUGACAUUUGAAGCAGGGAAUUCUUUGUUGUGGGGUGUGGAAGGGUUAGCAGUCUCGGAGCCCUACUAAAUGUCAGUAGUACCCACCCAGUAAUGACAGCCAAAAAUACCUCCAGACACUGCCAAAUGUCCCCUGGAGGGCAACACUGCCUGAGUUGAGAACCACUGGAAGAGAAGAACAAUCCUGUGUUUUAGUCAAGCAACUGCUUGAACUACAAAGAAGGUUCAAAGAUCUGGACUGUCCUUAUAGCAUAUACCAUGUAAGUUAAUGUGCAUUUGUUCAGCACUAGGUCUUUAAUUAGAAUUAAAUGUACACAUUUUAAUUAGAGCACCAGAAAGGAAUGCACCAGACCUUAUGGCCUCUUCAAGCUUUGGGAUUUACUUUCAGUAUUAGAAUAACAAAAAUGUCAGAGCAAUUAUGCCUUUAUAAAAAAAAAGCUGCAGGGCUUCCUGGCAAGCAGCCAGAUCUUGCCAAUUUCUUUUAAACUUGAGAAAACACUUUUCUCAUACUGAACAAAACAGGGGAGACCCAGCCAAACAUAACCCUGGGCUGUAGGCCCAAGUUCAUUUCAGUUCAGCAAAUAUUUGAGCAUCUAUUACAUAUGCUGGGGAUGAUAACAAUAGUAAAACAAAAACUAGAUUUCUUAAAUGUUAUAGAAAUAAAGUACAUUUUAAAAAGACAAGUUUUUGAGGCAAGAUAGUAAGAAGCUAGGAACAUUCCUUGGCAAGUAGAAUAGGGCAACUGAAACAGAAAGCUGAAAAAAAUGGCCAAGCAAUUUACAGCCAGAUACAGGUCACCUCCCUAGGGAUAGCAUCUAGGCCUCAGUUGUAUUUCAGCUCCAGGCCCAGAAAAGCAGCAAAACCAAGUGGACAAUGCCAGGACCAGCCCCAAUGACUAACGACCCCCUGCCCUGGCACUGACCAAUCAGUGGAGACCAUGACCCUGAAAGAGCACACCUGGAGAACUGAUGCGUAUUCUGGUGAAAACCUCUCCUGAGACCUCCCCUAGGAUUCCCGCCUGCAAGAGAUAAAAGCCUCAGGGCAAAGGACCCAGAGUAUAGUCUCCCUCUGGGGAGCAGCCCAUGCCAUUCCCUUUCCCUUCUUCUCUCACAGGCAUGGCAUCUCCUAAACCCUAAGGGACCCUAAGACUUGCAACCAGGGGAGCAAUGGGCAGCUGGCAGCUCGUUCCAGGCUAAUCCCCUGAACCUGCCCUCGAGGCCCUCUUUUCUCUGACUUCCCAGUGAGCUAAGGCCGCCCAGCCUAGGCUCUCCCGUUGCUUUGUCUACCCUACACCCUUUCUUAUUUCACUGUCCCCAGCUUUAACAACUGUACCCUCAUAGUCACCUGGACGCCUGUUGAGAAAUCUUUCCUGCAUUUGAAGUCAAGAACCCACACACUACUGGCUGGCUCUAGGCAGGCCCACUCAGGGCCAGGUCCCUUGUGCCAUAAGUUUUCCUUUUUGCACUUCACAGUACGGUGUGAGAAUGCAGUUUUCUGCAUGGUCUAACUAAACCUGUGCCAUCCAAAUGGUAGCCACCAGACAUAGGUGGCUAUGGAGCCCUGGAAAAAUGGUUGGUCUGAAUUAAGAUGUGCUAUAUACGUAAACCAU
Long non-coding RNA from Phyllostomus hastatus (greater spear-nosed bat), 3991 nucleotides. RefSeq lists it as uncharacterized. The record is from RefSeq and is a predicted model, not a curated record. The transcript is spliced from 3 exons. NCBI's taxonomy places the organism in Eukaryota, Metazoa, Chordata, Mammalia, Chiroptera, Phyllostomidae.